UACGUAGGGGGCAAGCGUUGUCCGGAUUCAUUGGGCGUAAAGAGCGUGUAGGCGGCCAGGUAGGUCGGUUGUGAAAACUGGAGGCUCAACCUUCAGAGGUCGACCGAAACCAUCUGGCUAGAGUCCGGGAGAGGAGAGUGGAAUUCCCGGUGUAGCGGUGAAAUGCGUAGAUAUCUGGAGGAACACCGGUGGCGAAGGCGGCAUCCUGGACCGAUACUGACGCUGAGGAGCGAAAGCCAGGGGAGCAAACGGG
RNAcentral lists this ribosomal RNA (253 nucleotides) under uncultured bacterium. RNAcentral's name for it is "partial 16S ribosomal RNA". It matches the Rfam family "Bacterial small subunit ribosomal RNA", at positions 524 to 776 of the family's 1533-position model. The record is from RNAcentral.